RNAcentral lists this non-coding RNA (1108 nucleotides) under Drosophila sechellia. Its description in RNAcentral is "Eukaryotic small subunit ribosomal RNA". It matches the Rfam family "Eukaryotic small subunit ribosomal RNA", at positions 652 to 1670 of the family's 1831-position model. The record is from Rfam by way of RNAcentral. Lineage: Eukaryota; Metazoa; Arthropoda; Insecta; Diptera; Drosophilidae.
UUCUUAUAUGUGAUUAAAUACUUGUAUUUUUUCAUAUGUUCCUCCUAUUUAAAAACCUGCACUAGUGCUCUUAAACGAGUGUUAUUGUGGGCCGGUACUAUUACUUUGAACAAAUUAGAGUGCUUAAAGCAGGCUUCAAAUGCCUGAAUAUUCUGUGCAUGGGAUAAUGAAAUAAGACCUCUGUUCUGCUUUCAUUGGUUUUCAGAUCAAGAGGUAAUGAUUAAUAGAAGCAGUUUGGGGGCAUUAGUAUUACGACGCGAGAGGUGAAAUUCUUGGACCGUCGUAAGACUAACUUAAGCGAAAGCAUUUGCCAAAGAUGUUUUCAUUAAUCAAGAACGAAAGUUAGAGGUUCGAAGGCGAUCAGAUACCGCCCUAGUUCUAACCAUAAACGAUGCCAGCUAGCAAUUGGGUGUAGCUACUUUUAUGGCUCUCUCAGUCGCUUCCCGGGAAACCAAAGCUUUUGGGCUCCGGGGGAAGUAUGGUUGCAAAGCUGAAACUUAAAGGAAUUGACGGAAGGGCACCACCAGGAGUGGAGCCUGCGGCUUAAUUUGACUCAACACGGGAAAACUUACCAGGUCCGAACAUAAGUGUGUAAGACAGAUUGAUAGCUCUUUCUCGAAUCUAUGGGUGGUGGUGCAUGGCCGUUCUUAGUUCGUGGAGUGAUUUGUCUGGGUUAAUUCCGAUAACGAACGAGACUCAAAUAUAUUAAAUAGAUAUCUUCAGGAUUAUGGUGCUGAAGCUUAUGUAGCCUUCAUUCAUGGUGGCAGUAAAAUGUUUAUUGUGUUUGAAUGUGUUUAUGUAAGUGGAGCCGUACCUGUUGGUUUGUCCCAUAUAAGGACACUAGCUUCUUAAUGGGACAAAUUGCGUCUAGCAUAAUGAGAUUGAGCAUAACAGGCUGUGAUGCCCUUAGAUGUCCGGGGCUGCUCCCCCGUACAAUGAAAAGUAUCAAAGUGUAUUUCCUAAGACCGAGAAGUCCGCGGCAAACCCCUGAAGCAACUUUCUGCGCUGGGGGAUGGUGAGCGGAACUGUUCCCAUGAACCUGGAAGUCGCAAGACGUCUGGAGGCUUAGACUGCCUUGAAUAAACCCCUGCCCCCUCUUGGACACUAC